RNAcentral lists this transfer RNA (45 nucleotides) under Tetraselmis striata. Its description in RNAcentral is "partial tRNA". Lineage: Eukaryota; Viridiplantae; Chlorophyta; Chlorodendrophyceae; Chlorodendrales; Chlorodendraceae. The record is from RNAcentral.
CGGACUUACGACCAACCCGGAUUAUGCUCGAAGGGGAAGGUUCAG